Gallus gallus (chicken) is the source of this 2347-nucleotide long non-coding RNA. Lineage: Eukaryota; Metazoa; Chordata; Aves; Galliformes; Phasianidae. The record is from Ensembl.
GUAACAGUCUGAAGUAUGCAACACAUAGACAAAAGACAUCUGUCCUUAGAGUGCACUGUUGUCUUCAAGUGGUUGUCUUCUCCUACGUGGAUGGAAUUCAUUGCAGAUAACUCAAGGCAACAAAAAUUAGUCUUGUGGUUAGCCUGGGUUUUAGAUGACAGAGUAACAACUUGUUCAGUGUUCUUACAGAUAUCAUCACUUGUUAUUUAUUUCCAUUGACUACAAAGGAUGGAAAUACUGUUGUAGUCUUACAUAACUACUAAUUUAAAUGCUUAGGUAAAAUGGAUUCUGUCUGAGAUGCUUGGCUACUUUGGUGCACAAUUUAUGCCUCUGCGUAAGACACAGAUUUCCCUUUAACUGUCAGGCCCUGUAAUUAAUGAACAGACACUUCUGUUGAAGAUUUGAUGUAGCAAGAUUCUAUUAGUACAUAGGUCUCUCCAGUCAAGGCCUCCUAUUUAUUUCCAUGGAAAGUACCACAGAUACAAAGAACACAAUAAUGCUAUUUGAUAGAGCAAAUUCUCUUCUGCAAAACACUAUUUUUCAACAAUGGUGGUGACUAUAACUAUGCAGUUUUGCCAGCGAUGAACAAGAGUCUGCAUGCCACGCCCUUAAAAAUCUGCACCAGAUGAGGUGAUCCACUGGUGAUCCACUGUCGCCACUGCUGAAACACACUUCCUACUGCUUCACUGAGCUCACAUCCUCCGUUUGGUCUCCAUAAACAUUCAGCAAGCAUCAACAAGCGUGUGCCGUAUUUUCCUCAUGGAGGAAUUCAAUGACAUAUCUUUGCUUCAUGUGCAUUUCCAUGUCAGACAUUAUUUUGUCUCACUGCCCCUCUGCUGCCAUCUGUCACAUAGCAGCAAGAUGUAAUGGAAUAUUACAGAAUCAUAGAAUGGCUUAGGUUGGAGCGGACCCUGAAGAUCAUCUACUUCCUGCCCCUGGGUGCCUCCAGAGAUGGGGUGUCCACAACCUCUCUGGACAUCCAGUUCCAGCAUCUGAGUAAAAACUUUCUUCCUAACAUCUAGCCUGAAUCUCUCCUCUUUUAGUUUUAAACCAUUUCCCCUUGCCCUGUCACUAUCAAACUAUGUAAAAAGUAGCCCCUCAGUCCCCCUCCUGCUUGUAAGCUUACUUCAAGUACUGGAAGGCUGCAAUGAGGUCUCCCUGGAGCCUUCUCUUCUCCAAGCUAAACAUGCUCAAAUCCCUCAACCUUUCUUCAUAGGAGAGGUACUCUAGCCCUUUGGUCAUCUUUGCAUCUUUGCAGCCUUCAAUAUUAGCAGGAAGGUUCAACCUUUACUGCUGUACCACCACCACUGUGCCAACUCUUGCUUUUCUUUUUACUUGUUUGUUGAUACCGUGGCUGCAGUUCUUCCUCUGCCCUAAGGGAGGGAAACAGAAAAAGUGGAGUGACAGGGGAAUAGGAAAGAAAGAAAUUUAUAUGAGAAAAUAUGAGACAGAUGGACAAGUAAGAGAAGGAAAAAGCAGGGACAUAAAUUUUGAGGAAAGAGAAAGGAAAGGUUUUAUAGAAAGCAUUAGAAUAUAGAACACAUUAACAGAUGGACAGGGAACUAGGGAGAUGGACUGUUUACUGUCAGUGUUAACUGAGAAAAGUUUGAUUUACCAUAAAGAGUGACGCUUUAUUUUUUCCAACUGGAUGUUGGAUUCUUUUGUAGCCUCACUGUUUACAGAAAUGGAAAUUUGAAAACAUGGCCCAUUACAGGCAUCCAUAAAAGUAUUUAGAUUUUCCAGAAAUUCAGAGUGGAGGUUCCAAAUGAUGUUUCUUUAUUUUCAGAGCCUUGGCUGAGCUGGCAGAAGAGAUACUUUUUAAUUUGGGCUGUUUUCUAGGUGGUCCAAAGACUCUACCGCCUCACUGGAGCUGAAAGACUCAUCUGUUUGUGAUGCCCAGGCUUCCCUGCGGAGUCCUCACCAUAGUGUUAAAUCACCACUCCUUUGAUAUCGUGGUUGUUUGCAUAACAGAUUCCUUCUCCCUAUGGACUUAAUGGACCUAUACUGUCUUCUGCCUAUGGCAGACAGCAGAAAGAGAUGAGACUCUCGAGGGGAUGAUUCAUCCUCUUCAAUGAUAAGUAUCUGACACAGGUGGGUGUUAGUCAAAGUAGAAAAUGUACUGUAAAUUCACGUCUCUUUGCACUGUUCACUAUUUAAACAGUCUCUUAGUAGAAGAGCUUCUUACAUGAUUCUUGCUUUAGACAAGAGUCUCCUGCUGGAGAAUGAGACCUCCUGGAUGCUAGUCUGAGCAUUGCUUUGGUGUAGGCCACAUAACUGGCGGAGCACCUGGAAGAGAGAAAGCCCCUUGGGAAAGUAAUUGGGGAAAGUAAGAGGGUAUGUGUGAGAG